Pollicipes pollicipes is the source of this 931-nucleotide long non-coding RNA. RefSeq lists it as uncharacterized. The transcript has 3 exons. Lineage: Eukaryota; Metazoa; Arthropoda; Thecostraca; Pollicipedomorpha; Pollicipedidae. The record is from RefSeq and is a predicted model, not a curated record.
GUGUCGCGUGUGGCUGUGGUCGUGCUGCUCUGUCUGUGUGCCGGCAACGGGGCACGCGCGCCGCCACCCUCGCCGCCCAUGCGUUCUGUUGAUGGCGAUUCGUGGCAGGUGACCAUAGUGUUUAAUUGGUGGUGCCCUCCCGGUUUGACCAAAAUGGACGGUGUCUGCCGAGCUUUUGACAUACCGCAAGGUAUCCCUGCAGACCUACCACGACCAGGAGUGGUAGGCCCGUGGCGGUGUGUCGAAGGCCAACAGGAAAUAAACGGCAAAUGCCGACCGUAUUCCAUAUUUCCAUCGGGAAUUCCACCGAGAAUUUCUGUCAAUCCUUUUGUUUUCAAGUGAGCCUCGAGCAAGCGCACAACGGACGAGCUACUCAGCAUCAACGGGGCGCCAUCGGCGGCGCACUACCGGUGGUUGUAGUCUAUAGCGUAGGCACGUGCACGGCCGUGGUCAGUUUCGUCACGCCCUAAGCAACUACAGCCAAAGCCAUUCUAGGAGACAUGGAGCAAGAUUUCCUGUUUUGUAUAUGGAAUCCGGUUUCCCCACAGUCUUGUCAUACUGGGUGCUCGUUGUACCAUGGUCUGCCUGCAUUUGGGCACGAUGCUUGUAGUGGUUGUAUAUUACACCCGGCAUUUUGUGAAAUAUCUUCCCGUUUUUGCUUAUUUGUUUAUGUACUGCUGUCCCACAGGCUGCUUUCAUAUUUAGUCUCUGCCACUCCGUUUCGCAUCAAAUGUGCCUCGUUGUUCUUGGUUGAGAUUAAAGGGCGUAGCGACUACUAAGGUCAUUUUCCCCAUGACAAAGUGUCAUUUACUUCGCGUGGAUUGCAUAUGACGGAAAUCCUAUUGUCCCUGGACAUGCGAACAAAUGUGUUGGCAUGGAUCAAGCGGAACUCGUCAUCCACCACGUCAUUGUAUUGUAUAUUAUUGCACUU